CAGAGAGCUUUAUGGUGAAGUUGGGUGAGCAGUCCAAAGGCAGGAAGAGGGGAACCCUGAAAGUCCUGGAGAGAUGGCAGCCACAUCACAGCAAGGACAUUAGCCAACGGGGAGCCGAAGCAUGGGCCCUGUGAAUGUAGCUGUUUGGGUAAGGAGGAUGAGGAGAAAGAAAGGCAUAAGCACUUAAGUCCAAGCAUAACCAGUGCAACACACCACCACAGCUGAUGCAGGCAUGGAGAAGUGAUGGUGGAGUGAGCUGGGUACCUUGAUUUCCACGGUGUGAUACGAAGGCUCACGAAUGUCCUGUAUUGGGAAUAACACAGUAGGAGCUACAAGUGAGAAAAAACAGUCAAAUCUCCGGAAAUCAGACCAGCAUAUUUAUCUCAGAAGAUGCUCAGAUUCUCUUUUUAGUAUUUGCUUAAAAUGAUGACAACAGCAAGCUGUAAACCUGCUUGUCCCUGACCAAAUUAGUAGGUUACAAAAACUCAAGUGAUGGUAACCCAGGAAUUUUGGAGGGGAAAAAAAGUAUGCAAAAUAUUAAAGCUUAUCAUAAACCCUUUUAGCAAAGACUCCUCAAUUCCACCCCCCACCUCUACCUGGUUUAUA
Molecule: long non-coding RNA, 606 nt
Organism: Alligator mississippiensis (American alligator)
Lineage: Eukaryota; Metazoa; Chordata; Crocodylia; Alligatoridae
Exons: 3
Source: RefSeq, a predicted model, not a curated record